This 2660-nucleotide long non-coding RNA is filed under the name Struthio camelus australis. RNAcentral's name for it is "lncRNA (ENSSCUG00000012077.1)". The record is from RNAcentral. Lineage: Eukaryota; Metazoa; Chordata; Aves; Struthioniformes; Struthionidae.
GUAGGAGGUGGCAGGCAGCUGUCAGGUGCAAGAGGGUGGGAUGGGGCAUUCAGCUGGGGUUAUUUAGCUAAAUGGCUGUUGUCUUCCUUUUCAGAGAAAUGUUUAAGUGACAGUUCCUCAGAAAAUACCGGAAGUACCCUGGUCCCCACAGAUCUGGCCAGUUUGUCCCCUUACCAGUUUAUAGUGUACCGCUUUGGCUGUGCAGUGCUUCGCCUGUUAAUCAGGACCUAUUCGUGCCCAGCUCUGGUACUUAAGCUGGCUCGGUCGGUUCCUGCCCGAAGUCCAGAUCAAGAUGUUCUCCCAGUCCUUAGAGACUCUCACUAUGACGCCAUCAACAGGUACCUGUAUAUACGUGCAACAAGGCUGGAGGAUGCCGGGGAAUUUAUUGCCAUCUUGCUGAGCGCUGUGGCGUGGAUCAAAGCAGGCUCUGCCUCAAGAGGUAUUGUUCAUUCCUUCUUUCUGACGGAACUUAAUGGAGCUGUUGUGGUUCUGGCCAAUGCUUCUUUCCAGCAUUUGUGGGAGGCAGCAGAGAAGGAUCCAUCAGGAGGCAGCUUAUCCGCUCAUUUUGACCCCCAGACAAUGCUCGAAGAACUUCUGAGCAUCAGAGUGUCACCAUAUCCCUACGUCAAGGAGAAAGCCCUGGGUGAGAGAUUGCAGCAGUACCGAUGCCUUCAGCUGCCUCUGGAGUCUGAGAAUAGGAUGGAAAAUUCACAGAAAAGAGAAGACAGUCGGAGUGUAGGCUCCUCUGAUUUUAAGCUGAAGGCUGCGAAAUUGGAGGAGACAUUGGAUGAGCUAAACGAGGAGUUUUUUGAACUGACGGUACAGGCUUUGAGAAGCCAGGAAGAAGGGGAAUUGUUGGAGCAAGUGCUCAGAACACAGGAGGAGUCGACUGUGACAGCAAGCAUCGACCACGUGUACGAAGCUCAGUGCUUUCCAGAGCUGCUGGAUUCUUGGGCCACAAAGAGGGAUGAAGCCCUGUUGCUGGAAAUACAGAGGAGCUGCAUUGCUCAGAGGAUUGAAGAGGCAGAAGCAGAACUGUUUUAUCUUCUGCAAAAUAAAAUAGCUGCCAGCUCACUUCAUUGAGGAACCUAGCUUACCCUCGGCACUGACUAAAAAUUGAUGGAUUGCAGGAGAGUGCGUGUGUCCACGGACAGAGUUGCGUUACGUGAAGUAUCAGAAUAGGUAUGUGUGUAGUUAGAGACAUUCUUGGUCAAAUAUAUAAUGAUGAAUCCAUAUUCUGUUUGUUCAGCGGGGCUGAAAUACAUUUGUACUUGCCAUGGGUCAUCGAUAUUAUGUAGGCUUGAGCGAGAAGCUCAUAUCCAUAACAUUGCUUACUAAUUUUAUAUUUAUCACCGUUAAGUCAGUAAAGCAGAAAACACGUGAAGCCGAAGGUGGUCAAGAGCCCUGCUUGUCAGCUUCAUGUGUUCUGCAUAUGCUUUAUGACUUCUGAUGUCAAGGAUAUUUGAGAGGGGCGGAUGUUGUUUAGAGCCAUACGUCAGAGCCUCGUCCAGCAUCUCUACGUUGCCUCUAUGUUUUUGCUAUGCUUGCAUUGAUCUCAGGAAGGUCUCCUGCUAGCAGAGACCUUCAACUUCUGUGAGGGUGUGACUUUUCAACACAGAGCAUGCUUCAACCAUUCCCUGUAGUGAUGACUGCACAGAUCAGUUUAGCUCCCAGUGUCCAGUGCUCUGGUGGGAGCUGGAUCUUUAAAUUGAAGAUACAGUCUUACUGUUGCUAUUUUUUUUUUUUUUGUCCUGUCUGCCUGAUGCUAAGAGAGUCCGGCUGUGAAGUGAGCUUAGCUUCUGUUGCACAGAAGUCGCAUCGGAACGUGCGCUCCAUCUCUUUCUGUGCGGUAUUCCUUAGCUCCAGAUAAGUACAGCAAUAUAAAAUUUGUUGAUGGUGAGCCAGCACAAUACCUUGGCAAGCUGCACAGGUAGGCUUCUACCAGUGGUUUCCAACAGCAAAACCAAUGCUCUUUUCAUUACAAUAUUUACUCGAUCGCUUACGCGUGAAGAGGUUUGUGAACCCACUCCUUCCUGGUUCCUAAACACAAAUCUGUGUUUUCCCCUGCCUUUGAGUGACCAUGGGCAAUAUUAGCAGGGAGAGACUUCAGUACCUGGCAGCCAAGACAGAAUCUCAGUUUGGCUUCCACUAACUGUUGUCUCUGGUGGAUCCAUAGGAAUUGCAAGGUCUGUUGCCGUCAUCUACUCGGUUUGGCAGUUCCACCUUUUCUGAGUUUGCUCCCAGAAAACAAGAAGGUUUCUUCCGGUUCCUUUGCAAUUCCACCUCGGGAGAAUUCAGUUACUUAAUGGCACUUGGAAGGAACUUUCCUAAAAGGACACUAAAAGCUACAGGCAAACACUAUGAAGUGCUUGGAGGUCACCCUCUGUGAUUGCCUUUUCUAGAAUACAGUAACGAAAAAGCUGUCACCGCUCUCCUCCUUGCUUGCGUUUUUAGGUUUUCAGCAGAUAUAUUUGUAACAGUAAGCGAUCUGUCAGUCUUGAUUGAUUGCAGUCUCUCUAAUUCCCACAGGGAACAGUGGUACCCAGACAGGUGAUGAAGUUAACUCUGAGUGCUGUGUGGUGUGAUUCUAGGUUACAUUUGUAAAAGGCGGAGUGGAAAACAAGAAUAAAUAAAAUUUGUCAAAAUGUUUCCUUGUAACA